GGGCCCGCACAAGCGGUGGAGUAUGUGGUUUAAUUCGAUGCAACGCGAAAAACCUUACCAGGUCUUGACAUCCCUUGCAAUGCUGUAGAGAUACAGUGGAGGUUAUCAAGGAGACAGGUGGUGCAUGGUUGUCGUCAGCUCGUGUCGUGAGAUGUUGGGUUAAGUCCCGCAACGAGCGCAACCCUUAUUGCUAGUUGCCAUCAUUUAGUUGGGGACUCUAGCGAGACUGCCAGUGAUAAACUGGAGGAAGGUGGGGAUGACGUCAAAUCAUCAUGCCCCUUAUGACCUGGGCUACAAACGUGAUACAAUGCUACGGACAAAGGGCAGCAAGUUCGCGAGGACAAGCAAAUCCCAUAAACCGUGGCUCAGUUCAGAUCGUAGGCUGCAACUCGCCUACGUGAAGGCGGAAUCGCUAGUAAUCGCAGGU
This 427-nucleotide ribosomal RNA is filed under the name uncultured bacterium. RNAcentral describes it as "bacterial SSU rRNA". It matches the Rfam family "Bacterial small subunit ribosomal RNA", at positions 917 to 1349 of the family's 1533-position model. The record is from RNAcentral.